UUCAGCGCCUUCUUUCCAGUUGCACUGUUCUUGAGGAUCUAUUUCUAGAACGUUUAGAGAUUUAGGGUAAGUGUCUGGUCUUUCCAGAGACUAACCCUAAAAAUAUUAAGAGGUUCUCAGUUUUAUGUGCUUGUGUUACACACUCCUUUGAAGCAUUUCAAAAUUAUGGAUUAUAAGGGUAAAUAUGAAACUGAUGGUUAUGCCUAACUUAGAGGAGGCGGAUAUUAGUUCGACAUACGCUGAUAUGGUUAAGUUUGUUAGAUCAUCACAUCCGUCAAGCGGCUUUCAUUAUGCGUAAGAGUCAAUGCAGAAGAGGCUUUAUAUCCUGAGGGUAUUUUCUUCAACCAGCUUAAAAAUCUGAAGCUAUGUCCACGUGAUUCAAAUUGGUCAAAGCUACUUGUCCGGUUACUUAAAGAUUCUCCUAAUUUAAAUACGAGGGCUCGAAGUCUCUCUGUAUGAUGGAAGUUUCUUCGAUAUCGACCUAUUCUUUUGAUUUGAUUUGCUUUAGUAUUUAGGCCAUGCUUCUAUGAUUGAUCUCAGGAUCAUACAAAAACUUGUGUGGAUCCAACAGUUUGCUGGGAGAAUCAACUGAAUUGUGUUCCUAAAUGUUUGUUGUCGAGUCUCGAAACUUUCAAAUACAUGGAUCGCCAAAAGUGAUGGAUUUGGCAAAAUAUAUUUUGAGAAAUGCUCGUUGCUUAAAGACUGCGACAAUCUUAUUUCAGUCUGCUCUAGAGACAGAUCCAGGAGUUUGUUACUUUCUUUUCGAGGUUCAACAACUCAUACUACUAUAAUGUUUUCAUUUAUAUGUUAGGACUUAUAGUUAUGUGAUCAAAGAUGUAACACAUCAAGAAUAGUUGGCAACAAUAAGUGUAUGAAAUUUAUGCUUCAUUGUAUAAACCAAGGACAA
Molecule: long non-coding RNA, 907 nt
Organism: Arabidopsis lyrata subsp. lyrata
Lineage: Eukaryota; Viridiplantae; Streptophyta; Magnoliopsida; Brassicales; Brassicaceae
Exons: 2
Source: RefSeq, a predicted model, not a curated record